This is a long non-coding RNA of Suricata suricatta (meerkat), 543 nucleotides long. RefSeq lists it as uncharacterized. The record is from RefSeq and is a predicted model, not a curated record. The transcript is spliced from 2 exons. Lineage: Eukaryota; Metazoa; Chordata; Mammalia; Carnivora; Herpestidae.
GUCGGGUAAGAAGGUGAUUAUGUUCCAUAGACAUUUCUGGAAGCCUGCUGUGGGCAGGACAGACACUUUCCUGACUUCCUGCCUACCUUUGGAACGUACCAUUCAGUCACAGUGCGUUUACCAUUAUGGCAGCUUCGUUGCCUUAGCAAUGCCGCCUCGGCCAUGGCCUUUCUGACGUGUUCCUCCCCUCUCUAGCCGUGCACCCUCUUCCUUGCUAGAGACGUGGUUUGACUGUGGCAGAUUGUGCCAGAACUGCCCGCGGUGUCACUUCUCUAGGAAACCGCGGAAGAGGCCUCACGCUUUACAUGCUAAACGUGCAAAGAAGAGUCUGAGCUGAGAUGACCGGGAAAUGGAUGUUCCUCUCUGUGCUGGUUCGCAGGACUUCCAGCGUCGUAUGAAAGCCUGACGCUGCGCAGCCAGCUCGCAUGACCCGUGUCAGGGCAGGAUCGUGGAAGGCAGGAGCUGGGUGAUGCACAUCAGAGGAUAAUCUAAACAGCACUGUGCUUAUGUAAAAAAAAAAAAAAAUUAAUUGAAGUUGUUUUU